This 445-nucleotide ribosomal RNA is filed under the name uncultured bacterium. Its description in RNAcentral is "partial 16S ribosomal RNA". It matches the Rfam family "Bacterial small subunit ribosomal RNA", at positions 338 to 795 of the family's 1533-position model. The record is from RNAcentral.
CCUACGGGUGGCAGCAGUGGGGAAUAUUGGGCAAUGGGCGCAAGCCUGACCCAGCAACGCCGCGUGAAGGAAGAAGGCCCUCGGGUUGUAAAAUUCUUUUAUUCGGGACGAAACAAAUGACGGUACCGAAUGAAUAAGCCACGGCUAACUACGUGCCAGCAGCCGCGGUAAUACGUAGGUGGCAAGCGUUAUCCGGAUGUACUGGGUGUAAAGGGCGUGUAGGCGGGAGAGCAAGUCAGACGUGAAAUUCCAGGGCUCAACCCUGGAACUGGGGUUGAAACUGUUCUUCUUGAGUGAUGGAGAGAAGUAUGCGGAAUGCGCGGUGUAGCGGUGAAAUGCAUAGAUAUCGCGCAGAACUCCGAUUGCGAAGGCAGCAUGCCGGCUCCACACUGACGCUGAGGCACGAAAGCGUGGGUAUCGAACAGGAUUAGAUACCCGAGUAGUC